This 490-nucleotide ribosomal RNA is filed under the name uncultured bacterium. Its description in RNAcentral is "partial 16S ribosomal RNA". It matches the Rfam family "Bacterial small subunit ribosomal RNA", at positions 30 to 507 of the family's 1533-position model. The record is from RNAcentral.
AGUGAACGCUGGCGGCAGGCCUAACACAUGCAAGUCGAACGGCAGCACAAGAGAGCUUGCUCUCUGGGUGGCGAGUGGCGGACGGGUGAGGAAUGCAUCGGAAUCUGCCCAUUUGUGGGGGAUAACCUCGGGAAACCGGGACUAAUACCGCAUACGACCUACGGGUGAAAGCAGGGGAUCUUCGGACCUUGCGCAGGUGGAUGAGCCGAUGCCGGAUUAGAUAGUUGGAGGGGUAAGGGCCCACCAAGGCGACUAUCCGUUGAUGGUGUGAGAGGAUGAUGGGCGGCCUGGGGAGUGGGCCAGGGCCAAGACGCCUAAGGGAGGCAGCAGUGGGGAACGUGGGACAGAGGGCGCAAGCCUGACCCAGCCAGGCCGCGUGUGUUAAGAAGGCGUUCGGGGUGGAAAGAACUUUUGUUGGGAAAGAAAAGCAUCCGGUUAAUACCCGGUUGUAAUGACGGUACCCAAAGAAUAAGCACCGGCUAACUUCGUG